Molecule: transfer RNA, 73 nt
Filed under: Thiomonas delicata
Lineage: Bacteria; Pseudomonadati; Pseudomonadota; Betaproteobacteria; Burkholderiales
Also listed under: 1 other name
Rfam family: tRNA
About the family: Transfer RNA (tRNA) molecules are approximately 80 nucleotides in length. Their secondary structure includes four short double-helical elements and three loops (D, anti-codon, and T loops).
Source: Rfam by way of RNAcentral
GUCCCCUUCGUCUAGAGGCCUAGGACACCGCCCUUUCACGGCGAUAACAGGGGUUCGAAUCCCCUAGGGGACG